Molecule: long non-coding RNA, 414 nt
Organism: Armigeres subalbatus
Lineage: Eukaryota; Metazoa; Arthropoda; Insecta; Diptera; Culicidae
Exons: 3
Source: RefSeq, a predicted model, not a curated record
CCGAAAAAUAACCUUGGCCGGAGAUUCCACGUACAGCAUUCAUCCCAAGGAUUCUAGCUGCAGUGGAAAGCCUUCCCUGGAUGUGGAAGUUUGCGAUACCCACCGAAUGCGCAGCUAUUGCAUGCAGGAGUAUGAACCGAUACGGAACGAGAUGCAACCCACGUCACGGAGCUUACUAACUACUGCAGCAUGCCAACGAAAUACCUGCCGGCAAUCAAAUAGGCGUGGUCCAUCUAAUGGGAGGUCAGCGGUAACAAGUUGAUUCAUCAGCAUUUGCACGCACUCCGUCAUAAAGAAAAUCAACAAUCGUGGAACAAGAUGCCACUUUCUUUGCGGUGUUUUGCCGAAGAGGAAAACUGUUGCAUUAUCGUUCAUACAGCAACGGGGAUUGUGCUGCAGCAUGCCAACGGCUAG